This 83-nucleotide small nucleolar RNA is filed under the name Aquila chrysaetos chrysaetos. RNAcentral's name for it is "Small nucleolar RNA SNORD72 (ENSACCG00020014020.1)". It matches the Rfam family "Small nucleolar RNA SNORD72". From Rfam's summary of the family: snoRNA HBII-240 belongs to the CD family of snoRNAs. It is the human orthologue of the mouse MBII-240 and is predicted to guide 2'O-ribose methylation of the large 28S rRNA at residue U4590. Lineage: Eukaryota; Metazoa; Chordata; Aves; Accipitriformes; Accipitridae. The record is from Rfam by way of RNAcentral.
AACUUGUUAAUAACAUGUUUAUUAUUAAAAAUGUCUGAACAUAUGAACUCCGUAGUGAUUUCAGUGCAUUACUGAGAUAAGCU